GACGAACGCUGGCGGCGUGCUUAACACAUGCAAGUCGAACGGAAAGGCCCUGCUUUUGUGGGGUGCUCGAGUGGCGAACUGGUGAGUAACACGUGAGUUACCUGCCCUUGACUUUGGGAUAACUUCAGGACACUGGGUCUAAUACCGGCUAGGAGCUCCUGCUGCAUGGUGGGGGUUGGAAAGUUUCGGCGGUUGGGGAUGGACUCGCGUCUUAUCAGCUUGUUGGUUGGGUAGUCUCUUACCAUGGCUUUGACGGGUAGCCGGCCUGAGAGGGUGACAGGCCACAUUGGGACUGAGAUACGGCCCAGACUCCUACGGGAGGCAGCAGUGGGGAAUAUUGCACAAUGGGCGGAAGCCUGAUGCAGCAACGCCGCGUGCGGGAUGACGGCCAUCGGGUAGUAAUCCGCUUUCGCCUGUGACGAAGCGUGAGUGACGGUAAUGGGUAAAGAAGCACCGGCUAACUACGUG
This 468-nucleotide ribosomal RNA is filed under the name uncultured bacterium. RNAcentral's name for it is "partial 16S ribosomal RNA". It matches the Rfam family "Bacterial small subunit ribosomal RNA", at positions 28 to 507 of the family's 1533-position model. The record is from RNAcentral.